This 69-nucleotide small RNA is filed under the name Flavobacterium xueshanense. RNAcentral describes it as "Flavo-1 RNA". It matches the Rfam family "Flavo-1 RNA". The record is from RNAcentral. Lineage: Bacteria; Pseudomonadati; Bacteroidota; Flavobacteriia; Flavobacteriales; Flavobacteriaceae.
ACCUAGCCCCGAUUGAAGCGGCAUCCCUCGCUUUUUUUGGCGAGGAUACAGCGGAAAGCGGGACAAAUU